UGGGGAAUAUUGGACAAUGGGCGCAAGCCUGAUCCAGCAAUGCCGCGUGUGUGAAGAAGGCCUUCGGGUUGUAAAGCACUUUUAUCAGGAGCGAAACGCUGUCGGCUAAUACCCGGCGGAACUGACGGUACCUGAGGAAUAAGCACCGGCUAACUUCGUGCCAGCAGCCGCGGUAAUACGAAGGGUGCAAGCGUUAAUCGGAAUUACUGGGCGUAAAGCGUGCGUAGGCGGUUUCUUAAGUCUGCUGUGAAAUCCCCGGGCUCAACCUGGGAAUGGCAGUGGAUACUGGGAGGCUAGAGUGUGUCAGAGGGUGGUGGAAUUCCCGGUGUAGCGGUGAAAUGCGUAGAGAUCGGGAGGAACAUCAGUGGCGAAGGCGGCCACCUGGGACAACACUGACGCUGAGGCACGAAAGCGUGGGGAGCAAACAGGAUUAGAUACCCUGGUAGUCCACGCCCUAAACGAUGCGAACUGGAUGUUGGUCUCAACUCGGAGAUCAGUGUCGAAGCUAACGCGUUAAGUUCGCCGCCUGGGGAGUACGGUCGCAAGACUGAAACUCAAAUGAAUUGACGGGGGUCAUAGCUG
Molecule: ribosomal RNA, 582 nt
Filed under: uncultured bacterium
Lineage: Bacteria
Description: partial 16S ribosomal RNA
Rfam family: Bacterial small subunit ribosomal RNA
Source: RNAcentral